AGUGAACGCUGGCGGUAGGCCUAACACAUGCAAGUCGAACGGCAGCACAGUAAGAGCUUGCUCUUACGGGUGGCGAGUGGCGGACGGGUGAGGAAUACAUCGGAAUCUACUCUUUCGUGGGGGAUAACGUAGGGAAACUUACGCUAGUACCGCAUACGACCUACGGGUGAAAGCAGGGGAUCUUCGGACCUUGCGCGAUUGAAUGAGCCGAUGUCGGAUUAGCUAGUUGGCGGGGUAAAGGCCCACCAAGGCGACGAUCCGUAGCUGGUCUGAGAGGAUGAUCAGCCACACUGGAACUGAGACACGGUCCAGACUCCUACGGGAGGCAGCAGUGGGGAAUAUUGGACAAUGGGCGCAAGCCUGAUCCAGCCAUACCGCGUGGGUUAAGAAGGCCUUCGGGUUGUAAAGCCCUUUUGUUGGGAAAGAAAAGCAGCAGGUUAAUACCCCGCUGUUCUGACGGUACCCAAAGAAUAAGCACCGGCUAACUUCGUG
RNAcentral lists this ribosomal RNA (492 nucleotides) under uncultured bacterium. RNAcentral's name for it is "partial 16S ribosomal RNA". It matches the Rfam family "Bacterial small subunit ribosomal RNA", at positions 29 to 507 of the family's 1533-position model. The record is from RNAcentral.